CAGCUGUGAAUCCUGGGAGGGGAAGGGUGGCCGCCCCGCCAGCAGAGAGCUGAAGGUGUUCCGUGGUCAGUGAGGGCUGGCACUGGCUCUGCACGAAGAUCUCCUCACCUCCCCAGCGGCUCCUGGCCAGCUCCCCACGGAGAGCCCAGGACACUUGUCCCUGGACACAGUGGUGCAGCCAUGCUUGGGCCAAACCAUGAGGCCACCAGAACCGCGAAAGGCUACUCUACUGAGAGGGAUACUGCGAGAGAGGCCCACGGGUUUCCAAGCAUCCCUCUCACUCCGCACACUCAUCUCCACGACCGGCUUUUAAGUGCGGCCUUGAGGCCUGGCUCCCUGUUUGGACUUCUCUGCACCUCCAGGAGCUCCCUUCCCGUCACAGCUGGAUGCCUCCUCCCGCAGGCACCUCCCCGGCAUCCUCCCGCCCCAGGCUGCAGCUUCUGUGGGACUGACCCCCGCAGGCACCUCCCCGGCAUCCUCCCGCCCCAGGCUGCAGCUUCUGUGGGACUGACCUUAAGACCCCAUCGGUUCCUCCUGAGAGCAGCAGAUCUCAGCCAGAUGCUGCCGGGAGGGAGGUGCUAGCGUCCACACCCAGACAGGGGUCCAGUCCAGCCCUGCUCUCCCUGGUCUCCAGGCAGGGCCCUCCCAGGGUGGACAUUGCCCAUCUCUGCCUGGCCAGGGGCUGCUGACCCACUGGUUCCAGAGUCUGAGCCUGUCCUGCACAAGUACCAUGGACAGGGGUCAGCCGGGCACUGAAGAGACGUGGCAGAAUUGGGCAGGGCAAGGGCCCCAGCUGGCAAGCUGGAGUCAGGGCAAUUCCAACCAAGAAACUGCGGCAGGCUGGGUGCAGUGUCUCAAGCCUAUAAUCCCAGCACUUUGGGAGGCAGUGGGAGAAUCGCUUGAGCCCGGGAGUUUGAGACCAGCAUUGGUAACAUAGAGACACCCUAUCGCUACAAGAAAAAAAAAAAAAAAAAA
RNAcentral lists this non-coding RNA (975 nucleotides) under Pan troglodytes (chimpanzee). Lineage: Eukaryota; Metazoa; Chordata; Mammalia; Primates; Hominidae. The record is from RNAcentral.